CAUGGGUGUAUUUACCUGGACAGACCAGCAUGAUACCGAAUGUCCAAGUCUGGUGUGAGGGCAAGAGGAAACUCCGGGUAACUGUCACCCCGACCUGGAGUCAAGGGAGAUUUCCCUGUCAACCCCUAGAACAUGACAGCUAUAGCACGUGAUGGCAACAAUACAAUGAUGUCACAACAACAAUUCAAUGACUCGCGGCAACAAUACAAUGACGUCACUUCGACUAUUCAAUCACGUCACAUCAAACAUUGUAAUGCAAUGUACUGCACGGAGGAUAUCAACCCUCGGUGGUUCUUUGUAAAAAAAAAAAAGGACGGAAUUGGUAUUGGGAUUCAACCCCUGUCACAUUGAUAGAGGUGCCCUACUGAGACUAUAUGUGAAUAAACGUGAUAAGAAGGAACUGCA
Long non-coding RNA from Pecten maximus, 405 nucleotides. RefSeq lists it as uncharacterized. The transcript is spliced from 5 exons. The record is from RefSeq and is a predicted model, not a curated record. Lineage: Eukaryota; Metazoa; Mollusca; Bivalvia; Pectinida; Pectinidae.